GUACGGGAGGCAGCAGUGGGGAAUAUUGGACAAUGGGCGAAAGCCUGAUCCAGCAAUGCCGCGUGAGUGAUGAAGGCCUUAGGGUUGUAAAGCUCUUUUACCAGGGAUGAUAAUGACAGUACCUGGAGAAUAAGCUCCGGCUAACUCCGUGCCAGCAGCCGCGGUAAUACGGAAGGAGCUAGCGUUGUUCGGAAUCACUGGGCGUAAAGCGUGCGUAGGCGGUUACUCAAGUCAGAGGUGAAAGCCUGGAGCUCAACUCCAGAACUGCCUUUGAAACUAGGUAACUAGAAUCUGGGAGAGGUGAGUGGAAUUCCGAGUGUAGAGGUGAAAUUCGUAGAUAUUCGGAAGAACACCAGUGGCGAAGGCGGCUCACUGGACCAGAAUUGACGCUGAGGCACGAAAGCGUGGGGAGCAAACAGGAUUAGAAACCCCAGUAGUCCU
This 441-nucleotide ribosomal RNA is filed under the name uncultured bacterium. Its description in RNAcentral is "bacterial SSU rRNA". It matches the Rfam family "Bacterial small subunit ribosomal RNA", at positions 339 to 797 of the family's 1533-position model. The record is from RNAcentral.